Molecule: ribosomal RNA, 1003 nt
Filed under: Ophiognomonia clavigignenti-juglandacearum
Lineage: Eukaryota; Fungi; Ascomycota; Sordariomycetes; Diaporthales; Gnomoniaceae
Description: SSU rRNA
Rfam family: Eukaryotic small subunit ribosomal RNA
Source: RNAcentral
GCUCAUUAAAUCAGUUAUCGUAUAUUUGAUAGUACCUACUACAUGGAUAACCGUGGUAAUUCUAGAGCUAAUACAUGCUUAAAAUCCCGACUUCGGAAGGGAUGUAUUUAUUAGAUUAAAAACCAAUGCCCUUCGGGGCUCACUGGUGAUUCAUAAUAACUUCUCGAAUCGCAUGGCCUUGUGCCGGCGAUGGUUCAUUCAAAUUUCUGCCCUAUCAACUUUCGACGGCUGGGUAUUGGCCAGCCGUGGUUACAACGGGUAACGGAGGGUUAGGGCUUGACCCCGGAGAAGGAGCCUGAGAAACGGCUACUACAUCCAAGGAAGGCAGCAGGCGCGCAAAUUACCCAAUCCCGAUACGGGGAGGUAGUGACAAUAAAUACUGAUACAGGGCUCUUUUGGGUCUUGUAAUUGGAAUGAGUACAAUUUAAAUCCCUUAACGAGGAACAAUUGGAGGGCAAGUCUGGUGCCAGCAGCCGCGGUAAUUCCAGCUCCAAUAGCGUAUAUUAAAGUUGUUGCAGUUAAAAAGCUCGUAGUUGAACCUUGGGCCUGGUUGGUCGGUCUGCCUCACCGCAUGCACUGAUCCGACCGGGCCUUUCCCUCUGGGGAUCCGCAUGCUAUUCAUUUAGUGUGUCGGGGAACCAGGACUUUUACUGUGAAAAAAUUAGAGUGUUCAAAGCAGGCCUAUGCUCGAAUACAUUAGCAUGGAAUAAUAGAAUAGGACGUGUGGUUCUAUUUUGUUGGUUUCUAGGACCGCCGUAAUGAUUAAUAGGGACAGUCGGGGGCAUCAGUAUUCAAUCGUCAGAGGUGAAAUUCUUGGAUCGAUUGAAGACUAACUACUGCGAAAGCAUUUGCCAAGGAUGUUUUCAUUAAUCAGGAACGAAAGUUAGGGGAUCGAAAACGAUCAGAUACCGUUGUAGUCUUAACCAUAAACUAUGCCGACUAGGGAUCGGACGAUGUUAUUUUUUGACUCGUUCGGCACCUUACACGAAAGUAAAGUUUUUGG